This 463-nucleotide ribosomal RNA is filed under the name uncultured bacterium. RNAcentral describes it as "partial 16S ribosomal RNA". It matches the Rfam family "Bacterial small subunit ribosomal RNA", at positions 30 to 507 of the family's 1533-position model. The record is from RNAcentral.
CGAACGCUGGCGGCGUGCUUAACACAUGCAAGUCGAACGGAAAGGCCCCUUUGGGGGUACUCGAGUGGCGAACGGGUGAGUAACACGUGAGUAACCUGCCCUUGACUUCGGGAUAACUUCAGGAAACUGGGGCUAAUACCGGAUAGGAAUCCUUGCUGCAUGGGGGGGGUUGGAAAGCUUCGGCGGUUUUGGAUGGACUCGCGGCUGAUCAGCUUGUUGGUGGGGUAGUGGCUUACCAAGGCUUUGACGGGUAGCCGGCCUGAGAGGGCGACCGGCCACAUUGGGACUGAGAUACGGCCCAGACUCCUACGGGAGGCAGCAGUGGGGAAUAUUGCACAAUGGGCGGAAGCCUGAUGCAGCAACGCCGCGUGCGGGAUGACGGCCUUCGGGUUGUAAACCGCUUUCAGCAGGGGCGAAGCUUGUGGUGACGGUACCUGCAGAAGAAGCACCGGCUAACUACGUG